This 957-nucleotide ribosomal RNA is filed under the name uncultured Bacillota bacterium. RNAcentral's name for it is "bacterial SSU rRNA". It matches the Rfam family "Bacterial small subunit ribosomal RNA", at positions 1 to 917 of the family's 1533-position model. The record is from RNAcentral. Lineage: Bacteria; Bacillati; Bacillota.
UGGAUCCAGACUUUGAUUCUGGCUCAGGACGAACGCUGGCGGCGUGCCUAAUACAUGCAAGUCGAGCGAGCUUGCCUAGAUGAUUUUAGUGCUUGCACUAAAUGAAACUAGAUACAAGCGAGCGGCGGACGGGUGAGUAACACGUGGGUAACCUGCCCAAGAGACUGGGAUAACACCUGGAAACAGAUGCUAAUACCGGAUAACAACACUAGACGCAUGUCUAGAGUUUGAAAGAUGGUUCUGCUAUCACUCUUGGAUGGACCUGCGGUGCAUUAGCUAGUUGGUAAGGUAACGGCUUACCAAGGCAAUGAUGCAUGGCCGAGUUGAGAGACUGAUCGGCCACAUUGGGACUGAGACACGGCCCAAACUCCUACGGGAGGCGGCAGUAGGGAAUCUUCCACAAUGGACGAAAGUCUGAUGGAGCAACGCCGCGUGAGUGAAGAAGGGUUUCGGCUCGUAAAGCUCUGUUGGUAGUGAAGAAAGAUAGAGGUAGUAACUGGCCUUUAUUUGACGGUAAUUACUUAGAAAGUCACGGCUAACUACGUGCCAGCAGCCGCGGUAAUACGUAGGUGGCAAGCGUUGUCCGGAUUUAUUGGGCGUAAAGCGAGUGCAGGCGGUUCAAUAAGUCUGAUGUGAAAGCCUUCGGCUCAACCGGAGAAUUGCAUCAGAAACUGUUGAACUUGAGUGCAGAAGAGGAGAGUGGAACUCCAUGUGUAGCGGUGGAAUGCGUAGAUAUAUGGAAGAACACCAGUGGCGAAGGCGGCUCUCUGGUCUGCAACUGACGCUGAGGCUCGAAGGCAUGGGUAGCGAACAGGAUUAGAUACCCUGGUAGUCCAUGCCGUAAACGAUGAGUGCUAAGUGUUGGGAGGUUUCCGCCUCUCAGUGCUGCAGCUAACGCAUUAAGCACUCCGCCUGGGGAGUACGACCGCAAGGUUGCAACUCAAAGGAAUUGACGGA